Molecule: ribosomal RNA, 253 nt
Filed under: uncultured bacterium
Lineage: Bacteria
Description: partial 16S ribosomal RNA
Rfam family: Bacterial small subunit ribosomal RNA
Source: RNAcentral
UACAGAGGUCCCAAGCGUUGUUCGGAUUCACUGGGCGUAAAGGGUGCGUAGGCGGUUGGGUAAGUCUGAUGUGAAAUCUCACAGCUUAACUGUGAAACUGCAUUGGAUACUAUCCGGCUAGAGGAAUGGAGGGGAGACUGGAAUACUUGGUGUAGCAGUGAAAUGCGUAGAUAUCAAGUGGAACACCAGUGGCGAAGGCGAGUUUCUGGACAUUUCCUGACGCUGAGGCACGAAAGCCAGGGGAGCAAACGGG